Molecule: ribosomal RNA, 468 nt
Filed under: uncultured bacterium
Lineage: Bacteria
Description: partial 16S ribosomal RNA
Rfam family: Bacterial small subunit ribosomal RNA
Source: RNAcentral
GACGAACGCUGGCGGCGCGCUUAACACAUGCAAGUCGAACGGAAAGGCCCUGCUUUUGUGGGGUGCUCGAGUGGCGAACGGGUGAGUAACACGUGAGUAACCUGCCCUUGACUUUGGGAUAACUUCAGGAAACUGGGGCUAAUACCGGAUAGGAGCUCCUGCUGCAUGGUGGGGGUUGGAAAGUUUCGGCGGUUGGGGAUGGACUCGCGGCUUAUCAGCUUGUUGGUGGGGUAGUGGCUUACCAAGGCUUUGACGGGUAGCCGGCCUGAGAGGGUGACCGGCCACAUUGGGACUGAGAUACGGCCCAGACUCCUACGGGAGGGAGCAGUGGGGAAUAGUGCACAAUGGGCGGAAGCCUGAUGCAGCAACGCCGCGUGCGGGAUGACGGCCAUCGGGUUGUAAACCGCUUUCGCCUGUGACGAAGCGUGAGUGACGGUAAUGUGUAAAGAAGCACCGGCUAACUACGUG